CUCUGCCGAAACCAAGAGAGGCUGGAGAUUACAGAACCGGUGAUCAAAGUGUUUUGAGGCAUUCAAAUCACUCUGCAUUCUCAAAGUACAAUAACGGUGCUACUUCUGCUAGUAAGGCUCCAGAAGAAAAUGUGGGAAGUUGUUCUCC
This is a non-coding RNA of Camelina sativa (false flax), 148 nucleotides long. The record is from RefSeq and is a predicted model, not a curated record. Lineage: Eukaryota; Viridiplantae; Streptophyta; Magnoliopsida; Brassicales; Brassicaceae.